AUGACUAAUUAUCGAAAUGCAUUUUGUGAUCCUUUAUUUGUACGACUUAUGGAAAGGUCGAAACUCAAUCACUUGAAAAAUCAAUUGCGCCAAGUCACAGGUAUUAGUAGAAAUGUUAUCGAUAUAUCUUUCAACUGCACUAUUAUCAAUGAAAAUGGGGGGUUGAUGCAUGACAUUAUAAAGUUAGAUACAAAUGCAGAUGUAUUUAAAAUGUUUGAAGAUUUUCGUAUUGGUGUUAAUAAGAUACCAUUUAAGAUGUAUGUUAGAUUUAGUAGAUUAGUCGAUGAAGUCUUACCAUUGUGUAAGAAACCCUGUUAUAUACAAUAUUCGCAAUAA
Molecule: non-coding RNA, 336 nt
Organism: Vicia faba (fava bean)
Lineage: Eukaryota; Viridiplantae; Streptophyta; Magnoliopsida; Fabales; Fabaceae
Source: the annotation of a GenBank genome assembly